This 504-nucleotide long non-coding RNA is filed under the name Coturnix japonica (Japanese quail). Its description in RNAcentral is "lncRNA (ENSCJPG00005002164.1)". Lineage: Eukaryota; Metazoa; Chordata; Aves; Galliformes; Phasianidae. The record is from RNAcentral.
UGGGGUUAUGGGGUUAUUAAUGGGGUUAUGGGAUUAUUAAUGGGGUUAUGGGGUUAUUAAUGGGAUUAUGGGGUUAUUAAUGGGGUUAUGGGGUUAUUAAUGGGGUUAUGGGGUUAUUAAUGGGGUUAUUAAUGGGAUUAUGGGAUUAUUAAUGGGAUUAUGGGGUUAUUAAUGGGGUUAUGAGGUUAUUAAUGGGGUUAUGAGGUUAUUAAUGGGGUUAUGGGGUUAUUAAUGGGGUUAAUGGGGUUAUUAAUGGGAUUAUGGGGUUAUUAAUGGGGUUAUGGGAUUAUUAAUGGGAUUAUGGGGUUAUCAAUGGGAUUAUGGCCCUAUUAAUGGGAUUAUGGGAUUAUUAAUGGGGUUAUGGGGUUAUUGAUGGGAUUAUGACCCUAUUAAUGGGAUUAUGGCCCUAUUAACAGGAUUAUCAAUGGGAUUAUGGGAUUAUCAAUGGGAUUAUGACCCUAUUAACGGGAUUAUCAAUGGGAUUAUGGCCCUAUUAAUGGGAUU